GCACACCAGGGGGCUCUGAGGAGGAGCUGACCGCUGAGCUGAGACCCACUACCUUUGCCAAGUGUAGCAGGUGUGGGUCAGGCUCCAGGCAGGAGGAGGAGCACCUGAAAGGCCCUGAGCCACUGAGGAGCAGGAAGGAGCCAGCAUGCCAAGCGUGCAGAAGGCCCAGAAAUGAAGGUCGGGGGUGUGGACUCCUGAGGUCAUGGUUGGCUGUGGAUGGUACUAGAAGUGCCCGGGACUCACUGAACUGAAGCAUGAGGUUGCUGUGAUCUGAUUCGGGGUCUAGGCGGCUGCCCUGGCUGCGAUACCUGUGUAUACCUGUGGAGCUGAAACCAUUCACCACGAGCCUGGAAUGCCUGGCGUGUGCCUCAUCUAGGGAUGCCUGCAUCUCAGGACCCACAGAAACAUUACCAGUGGUGAAGCAGGAGUGACACCACACUGCGGUACCGCCUUGCCUAGCCUGGAUCUCACAGCCCAAGGGGACCAGCGUCACAGGUGGCCUGCAGCUGAGGCCUGAAUGAGCUCCAGACGUCUACAUGCCCAGCAUACCACUAGAGAUUCCCAUGUUCUCUUUCACUCUAUCAAAUUACAUCUGAAUUUCAUUCCUGGCCCUUUGAGUUCCUUCAGAGGCAAAAUAGAAAGCGGUUCCUUGAGGCAAACUUUUGUCUUUUGCUGGGGAAAGUACAGUUUCCCCUUUGCUCCAAAGAAGAUUAGGAUAUUAAGGACAGAAUGUCAGCUGAAGAUUACAUGAAAAGGAUAAUUAAACAAAAGCCCCAUAUUAUAAGCCAUCUAAAAGGGAAAUUAAGCAGCUCUGGCAUUCUCCUCAUCUUUGAAGGAUAUUCUGGAAAGGGAACCAGGAAUUGUUUGGCUUGAUAAAUAAAGAUAGUAACCAAA
Chinchilla lanigera (long-tailed chinchilla) is the source of this 894-nucleotide long non-coding RNA. RefSeq lists it as uncharacterized. The record is from RefSeq and is a predicted model, not a curated record. The transcript is spliced from 2 exons. NCBI's taxonomy places the organism in Eukaryota, Metazoa, Chordata, Mammalia, Rodentia, Chinchillidae.